AAAAUGUAAUUAAAUAGAUUUCUUGAUUCAAUAAUUUACUUCAACGUAAUCAAUUGAGAAUAUAAAACCCUAGCCUCUGCUUAAGCUCGCUGUCGUCGCUUGCCAUCGGCCGAAUUUGCUCGCUCGUUGUCUUUGCUUUUCUCUUGUAUAAGAGUUGCCUUACUUUCUUGAUUGAAAGUCAUUUUCGCUACCUCUCAAAUCACCAUCCCUCUCAAAUCAUCAUCUCACAAUAAAUCCAUGGCCGCCAACGCUAAUAACACCGCCGCCAUCGCCCCCGGAGCCAUAGAUCCCAAACCUACCUUCCACCUACACACCAUUGUCGCCACAUGAGUCAUUGAUCUGUCGCUGGAGGAGAAACCUGAGCUGAAACCCUCGCUCGCUGGCCUUAUCAUCGGCCCGCCGGUAUGGAAGUCACCGGUGAAGACAGAGCACAACAAGUCACACACUAGGGCGGAUCACCCGGAGGUGAUUCGCCACCAGGAGUAAUCUGUUUGGUAUAGGACUGCUGAGGAGCCGGAUCACCGCAGCAGCUUCAGCGAGUUUCACCAGCACUCCGUGGGAGACGUUUUUAGUUUAAUAAAAGUCAUGUUGAAAUCUAUUCCGUACUUUCAUUUUGCGUUUACUUCGUAGCUUCAGUUUCAUAGGUUGUAUUUUUGUGUUGAUUGUCAGUUUUGAAUUGGUUUAGACCUUUCAAAAUGCCCAUUAGAAGAGCAAGGACUGAGGCGGUUAAUUUGCUAACAACCUAUGAUCCAUAUAUUCCCGAUUUGUGGGAUCUACCCCUCUGUGUGGCUUAUUUAUUACUGUUCAAUCGGUUUCGACCAUAUUGAAUGAAAAUGAUCCGACUUUUAUAAAGAAUAAGUUACUUCAACGUAGAUAAUAGAUUUCUAAUCAAACCAGCCCAAAGCUUUAACCGGCUGACCAAAGUCGAUAUAUUCG
RNAcentral lists this long non-coding RNA (936 nucleotides) under Linum usitatissimum (flax). Its description in RNAcentral is "long non-coding RNA (LUSI_LNC008133)". The record is from RNAcentral. Lineage: Eukaryota; Viridiplantae; Streptophyta; Magnoliopsida; Malpighiales; Linaceae.